This is a long non-coding RNA of Gopherus evgoodei (Goodes thornscrub tortoise), 1561 nucleotides long. Lineage: Eukaryota; Metazoa; Chordata; Testudines; Testudinidae. The record is from Ensembl.
GGGGUCUCGCCAGGAGCCUGCAAACUUCACAGGAACUUCCUCUCCCCGACCCACUUCGCCUCCAACCUCCGACCACGGCCCCUGUGGGGCUGCCUGACCUCUGACCCCCCUUCGGACCUUGAAGUUCACGUCAUCCUCUCCAAAGGAGCCAUGCCCCGGCCCCCAGACCAUCUCACUGUGGAGCUCCAAGUGCCUGGAGGCUGCUGCUCCCCCCGGCGGGAGCUGAUCGUGGUGCUGAAGAGUGAGUCCACCACCAGCUGGCUGGUCCGAAUCCCCCACAUGGCCGGGCGCCUGCGAGUCCUGGCAUCCCACGAGGUCUCAGUCAGCGGCACAGAAUCAGAACUGGACCUGGCUGUGAGCAGCAGCAUGUCCCUGGGCCUGGCCUAUGCCAGUGACCCCAUGGCCUGGGCAAUGGAGCAGGGAUUGCCUGGGGUCACAUCUUACACAGAGGCCAAGCAGGUGAACAGGUUCCUGGUCAUUGUAGGGCUAGAUGGUAGGUGACUCCUUAGGGGGCAGGGAAUGGGCACAGGGUGCAAUGCCAUGGGAGGGCCACUAGGGAGCCCACCUGACUCAGACUCUGCCCCACUCCCAGUGCAGGGGGAACUGGGAGCUGCAGUUCUGCCCUGUGGCCCCCUCCCCCCAGGCACGGACAGACCCUUGGUGGCCCCCAGUGGUGGGAGAGGUUCAUGCCCCAGACGAUGCCCUCAUGGCUGGCAUGUCUGUCUCUCCCAGGGCACCAUUACAUCUAAAACCCCAGUGCCAUGGGGAAAGGGAGGGGGCGGGGGGAAUAUGGGGACUAGGACACAGAGCUUGGCAGUUCUCAAUCCAGCCAGCAGGGGGCAGACUUGUGCUCUCUCUCGCUCGCUCUCUCUCUCACGUCCCCUUACCCUGUUCACCACCUUGCCCUGCUUCCUCCUUCCUCUCUGCUCCCUCACUCUGUUUUCUCCUGCUAGGGGAAGCCAAGGCCCCCCACCCCUCCAUCCUGCUCCCCAGACCCUCCAAGAUCUCCCCUAUGGUCUGGGAGAGAAGCUGGGCAGCCCCAGGAGAUGGGAGAACUGUGAGGCUGGCGGGAGCUCUGUCUGUGGUGUGUCUGAGCGAGAGGGUGGCUGUUUAUGUCAACAAGGACAUGCUCCAGGCUGCCAGACUCUCCCCAGCCCGAGUGACCCUGCGGGACCCCAGCUGUGCAGCCCAGUCCAAUGGCACCCACUUCCUGCUGGAGUCCUCCCUGGCCGGCUGCGGUGCCCUGCGCAUCCCAGCCCUGGCCCCCACCUCGGGCGUCGGACAGUACCAGAACUCGGUGAGCCAGGGGAUAGGGGGCACAAUGUCGGGCUGAGAGUGAAUGGGAGGGAGGAGAUGUGAAAUGAAAGAGUCUGGGGGGUCUGCAAAGGGGCUAGAAUGUUAGGGGAGUUGAGAGGAGCAGGACAGAGCCAAUGGGGGCUGGAGAACAGGGUGACUCUGGGAGACUGGAACUGGGGAAGAGUGGGAGAAGUGAGGACUGGGAAGGCUGAGGUUAAUGGGAGGACUGGGGAAACUGGAAUUCUGUGGGGCUGGGAGAGUUGGU